AACACACAACAAACUUAAAAGAAACUAUAAUUUUUCACAUUAUGAGCAAGUGUUCACCUCAUUUUGUAAAUGAAAUACACGAUCCAAAAAGGAAAAACUUAACACAGAUGCACUGCACAAUGACUGGGAGUAUUGACAACACAUUACAAAUAUAUAUCUCAUUCGAGAUACUACAGUGGAAAAUCCGAGAUCCCUGUCCUGAACCAUCGUCCAUCUUAAAAGCAAAACUUCUUCUUUUUCUGGAACUUGGCAGCUUCUUGACUGUCAAUGUAAGCGAGAAGUUCUUCUUGCCUCAUCAAUGCCUCAUGUAAUGCCUUCUUGGUUGCUAUUAACUCAGCUUCUAGGGCAUCCACCCGGCAAACAGCUGCAUUUAGCAAUUCCGCCUUUUCAUAAGGCAUCUCAGAUGGCUUUUCUUGAAGCGUACUUACUUUGUCCUCAAGUUCACCCAAUUUUUUCAGAACAACAGAAAGCAAUUGAGCUUCACUAAAGGCUGGAGUUGGUGAAGGUGGCCGAAGCUCCUCAUUACUGUUGGCAUCAAAAGUGAAUUCUUGAACAGCUUGGUCUUGACCAAUUGAUGGAUCUGGAAAUUUCUUAGUUAUGCAGCAUAGCAGUGAACGGAAAAGCAUCACCACAGUCGUGAAGAAAGCCAUAAGAAAUCCUAAUAUCUGAGCAUUAAGACCACCUGCAGGCUUUUGAGAAUCUGCUGGUGGAAGUAUCCCUUUGGCAAUGGGGGCUUUAUGAAAGGAUGUUUGCUUCUUUAACACAGAAUCAACCGCCUUGUCAACCAUGGGAACAUAUUCAUCAUAUCCUGAUAAGUUUGCAGUGUAGCCAGACAUUCCUAUACCCUUAGCCUCUUCACGGACAGGAGUAAGCCGAAGAUGCGAAUAAUUCCUUACAGCUUUAGGGGAACCAAUAUCUUCUGCCUCAGAUCCCGAUUCUGCCGUGGAGGUAUCACUACCUUUUGACUGCAUGGGGAAGCGAGGCUUAGCAUAAACUACCUUUCCUUCGCUGUUUACAACUUUAACAACCUGCCUGGCACGCCGUGCUUCACCAAUCAUCUUUAAUAUUUCCGGAUUUUGCCAUGGCCCUUUAUCUGAGCGAAGGCAACCUCCUUGAUCUGCACAUGUACAGUUUCCACCCAAAAAAUCUGGCAACUCACUAACGUCCACUAGUUCAAGCAAUUUGGUUUGGUACUUGUACCCAAGAACAUGUAUCUUCGAGGUGGUCUUGGGAUCCAAAAAACUCUUAACAGUACUCCACAGCAGCCUAAAGCCAGGUCCAGCAUUGAUGAUAAGCAUUUGAUGAAGUGUCUCGGGAUAAUUAUCACCAUCAAUCUUCUGAAGUCGCAUGAUGAGCUCCCUAGCACUCUUUGUAAAGUUUUUCAAACCCACUCCCUGGACAUCCAAAAUAGUAGUGCUUGAAUCAAUCUGCCUUUUUGCAGCAACUGUACAUGCUGGAAACUUGAUUGCAAAAGUUUUCUCAAACUCUCUUACAUGGUUUCUGAUGUAACGGUCCAUAGUUGUGACUUGCAUAAGUUUUGUGGGAUCAACUUUCCCUAACCUUUCAAUGUAUACCGGUCUUCCUUCCCUAUCAAUCCCAUGAUAACCUUGGGGAUAAUAUUUUACAACUUCUUCCAACUCCGGGAAUUCAAAAUCCUCCGUGAUUGUGUCAGCCCCAAAAUCCUUCCUCCACUGAAGCAUAUCA
This 1704-nucleotide unclassified non-coding RNA is filed under the name Hevea brasiliensis (rubber tree). Lineage: Eukaryota; Viridiplantae; Streptophyta; Magnoliopsida; Malpighiales; Euphorbiaceae. The record is from RNAcentral.